This 484-nucleotide ribosomal RNA is filed under the name uncultured bacterium. RNAcentral's name for it is "partial 16S ribosomal RNA". It matches the Rfam family "Bacterial small subunit ribosomal RNA", at positions 28 to 507 of the family's 1533-position model. The record is from RNAcentral.
AUUGAACGCUGGCGGCAUGCUUUACACAUGCAAGUCGAACGGCAGCGCGGGCUUCGGCCUGGCGGCGAGUGGCGAACGGGUGAGUAAUGCAUCGGAACGUGCCCAGUAGUGGGGGAUAGCCCGGCGAAAGCCGGAUUAAUACCGCAUACGACCUGAGGGUGAAAGCGGGGGACCGAAAGGCCUCGCGCUCUUGGAGCGGCCGAUGUCGGAUUAGCUAGUUGGUGGGGUAAAGGCUUACCAAGGCGACGAUCCGUAGCUGGUCUGAGAGGACGACCAGCCACACUGGGACUGAGACACGGCCCAGACUCCUACGGGAGGCAGCAGUGGGGAAUUUUGGACAAUGGGGGCAACCCUGAUCCAGCCAUGCCGCGUGCGGGAAGAAGGCCCUCGGGUUGUAAACCGCUUUUGUUCGGGAAGAAAUCCUCUGGGCUAAUACCCCGGGGGGAUGACGGUACCGGAAGAAUAAGCACCGGCUAACUACGUG